CUUUGAUUUUGAGAUUCGGUUUGGUUGUGUUUUGGUUUGAGCUGUGGUUACAAAUCUGUGAUAUUUGAUUCGGUUAUCAUAUUAAUUGAGAACAAUAUCGCAGUUUUCUGUCCAGGCUUAACAGAUGGCUCACUGGGAGACAUGUUUUACUUUCAUUCUUUCCGCAGUCUAGGUCUGAUCGUUGAUGUAGUGCAAGAUAUUAGGGCCAUGAACGGCGAAGCUGUCCAUGCAAAUCCAAGGAAGACUGGAACGAUCAUUCUCGGAGGGGG
Prunus mume (Japanese apricot) is the source of this 269-nucleotide non-coding RNA. The record is from RefSeq and is a predicted model, not a curated record. NCBI's taxonomy places the organism in Eukaryota, Viridiplantae, Streptophyta, Magnoliopsida, Rosales, Rosaceae.